Molecule: ribosomal RNA, 248 nt
Filed under: uncultured bacterium
Lineage: Bacteria
Description: partial 16S ribosomal RNA
Rfam family: Bacterial small subunit ribosomal RNA
Source: RNAcentral
CACGUAGGGUGCGAGCGUUGUCCGGAAUUAUUGGGCGUAAAGAGCUCGUAGGCGGUGUGUCGCGUCGGCCGUGAAAACCUGCAGCUCAACUGUGGGCUUGCGGUCGAUACGGGCAUCACUGGAGUUCGGCAGGGGAGACUGGAAUUCCGGGUGUAGCGGUGGAAUGCGUAGAGAUCCGGAAGAACACCGGUGGCGAAGGCGGUUAGCUGGGCAGUUGCUGGACACUGAGGCGCGACAGCGUGGGAGCA